GGGUAAUGAGGAAAGUCAAUGUAAUCUAUAAGAGCUUGCUGUUAGAUGUUAUCCCCCGACUGGUGAGGAAAAAAUGGGCAACAUGACUAUAAGACUGGGAUGACUUCCGGAAACUGGUAGCUAAAACAUGAUAAUUCAUUUCUACUCGUGUAGAAAAGCAUAUAAGACGGCUUACGCUGUCUUUUAUAGAUUGGCCCGCGACUCAUUGCCUGUUUGGUGAGGUAACGGCUCACCUAGGCCACUAUGCGUAUCCCAAAUGAAAGGGUGAUCUGCAAUUGUGGGACUGAGACACGGCCCAAACUUCUAUUGGAAGCAACUCUGGG
Molecule: small RNA, 323 nt
Filed under: uncultured bacterium
Lineage: Bacteria
Description: bacterial SSU rRNA
Rfam family: Bacterial small subunit ribosomal RNA (bases 59-313)
Source: RNAcentral